CCUUUGGCUGCCGUGAGCGCUUCGGCGUGAGCGACAGUCAUUCUAUAGUGACGCCUCCGUGUCCGGGAAACCGGCGCGGGGCUGACCUAACCCUUCUCUACGAGUACCUAUUAUUCUCCUUCGGCGGGGUCUACCCGCCGCUGGAACUUAAGAACCAACUUGCAUUUAGCAUUACCUGUUCUGAUAACAAUUAAUUAUUA
This 200-nucleotide unclassified non-coding RNA is filed under the name uncultured Ascomycota. Its description in RNAcentral is "sequence contains ITS1". Lineage: Eukaryota; Fungi; Ascomycota. The record is from RNAcentral.